Molecule: ribosomal RNA, 491 nt
Filed under: Ischnocnema lactea
Lineage: Eukaryota; Metazoa; Chordata; Amphibia; Anura; Brachycephalidae
Description: partial large subunit ribosomal RNA
Rfam family: Bacterial large subunit ribosomal RNA
Source: RNAcentral
AGUUAAACGGCCGCGGUACCCUGACCGUGCUAAGGUAGCGUAACCACUUGUCUUUUAAAUAAAGACUCGUAUGAAAGGCAUCACGAGGAUCAAACUGUCUCCUUUUUUCAACCAGUGAAACUAAUCCCCCCGUGAAGAAACGGGAAUUCCACUAUAAGACGAGAAGACCCUGUGGAGCUUAAGGCAAAGUAAUUUUUAUUACUUCAAAUAACCCUUUCCGAAGAUUAUACACACAACAUCUUAAUUAUUUAGCCUUUAGUUGGGGCGACUGCGGAGUAAAACCAACCCUCCACGCGAACAAUCUCCCACAGAGCCACAACUCUGCACAUCAACACAUUGACAACAAUUGACCCAAUUACUUGAGCAACGAAACAAGUUACCCCAGGGAUAACAGCGCAAUCCAUUUCAAGAGUCCCUAUCGACAAAUGGGUUUACGACCUCGAUGUUGGAUCAGGGUAUCCCAGUGGUGCAGCCGCUACUAAAGGUUCGUU